UACGUAGGGGGCGAGCGUUGUCCGGAAUCACUGGGCGUAAAGAGCGUGUAGGCGGCUCGGUAAGUCCGCUGUGAAAGUCCAGGGCUCAACCCUGGAAUGCCAGUGGAAACUGUCGAGCUAGAGUCCGGAAGAGGCGAGUGGAAUUCCUGGUGUAGCGGUGAAAUGCGCAGAUAUCAGGAGGAACACCAAUGGCGAAGGCAGCUCGCUGGGACGGUACUGACGCUGAGACGCGAAAGCGUGGGGAGCAAACAGG
Molecule: ribosomal RNA, 253 nt
Filed under: uncultured bacterium
Lineage: Bacteria
Description: partial 16S ribosomal RNA
Rfam family: Bacterial small subunit ribosomal RNA
Source: RNAcentral